RNAcentral lists this ribosomal RNA (492 nucleotides) under uncultured bacterium. Its description in RNAcentral is "partial 16S ribosomal RNA". It matches the Rfam family "Bacterial small subunit ribosomal RNA", at positions 29 to 507 of the family's 1533-position model. The record is from RNAcentral.
AGUGAACGCUGGCGGUAGGCCUAACACAUGCAAGUCGAACGGCAGCACAGUAAGAGCUUGCUCUUACGGGUGGCGAGUGGCGGACGGGUGAGGAAUACAUCGGAAUCUACUUUUUCUUGGGGGAUAACGUAGGGAAACUUACGCUAAUACCGCAUACGACCUACGGGUGAAAGCAGGGGAUCUUCGGACCUUGCGCGUUUGAAUGAGCCGAUGUCGGAUUAGCUAGUUGGCGGGGUAAAGGCCCACCAAGGCGACGAUCCGUAGCUGGUCUGAGAGGAUGAUCAGCCACACUGGAACUGAGACACGGUCCAGACUCCUACGGGAGGCAGCAGUGGGGAAUAUUGGACAAUGGGCGCAAGCCUGAUCCAGCAAUACCGCGUGGGUGAAGAAGGCCUUCGGGUUGUAAAGCCCUUUUGUUGGGAAAGAAAAGCAGCAGGUUAAUACCCCGCUGUUCUGACGGUACCCAAAGAAUAAGCACCGGCUAACUUCGUG